Molecule: long non-coding RNA, 2317 nt
Filed under: Salmo salar (Atlantic salmon)
Lineage: Eukaryota; Metazoa; Chordata; Actinopteri; Salmoniformes; Salmonidae
Description: lncRNA (ENSSSAG00000111284.1)
Source: RNAcentral
AUUUUCCUGACACCACACUCCGAGUGCCCUCACCUCCCCCUCCUUGUAGGCUGUCUCAUCGUUGUAGGUAAUCAAGCCCACUACUGUUGUGUUGUUCGCAAACUUGAUGAUUGAGUUGGAGGCGUGUAUGGCCACGCAGUCAUGGGUGAACAGGGAGUACAGGAGGGGGCUGAGCAUUCAACCUCGUGGGGCCCCAGUGUUGAGGAUCAGUGAAGUGGAGAUGUUGUUUCCUACCUUCCACCUGGGGGUGGCCCGUCAUAAAGUCCAGGUCCGAAUUGCACAUGGCGGGGUUGAGACCCAGGGCCUCAAGCGUAAUGAUGAGCUUGGAGGGUGCUAUGGUGUUGAAUGCUGAGCUGUAGUCAACGAACAGCAUUCUUACAUAGGUAUUCCUCUUGUCCAGAUGGGAUAUGGCAGUGUGCAGUGUGAUGGCGAUUGCAUAGUCUGUGGACCUAUUGGGGCGGUAUGCAAUUUGAAGUGGGUCCUGGGUGGCAGGUAAGGUGGAGGUGAUAUGAUCCUUGACUAGUCUCUCAAAGCACUUCAUGAUGACAGAAGUGAGUGCUACGGGGUGAUAGUAAUUUAGUUCAGUUAUAUUUGCCUUCUUGGGUACAGGAACAAUGGUGACCAUCUUGAAGCAUGUGGGGACAGAAGACUGGGAUAGGUCGAGAUUGAAUAUGUCGGUAAACACACCAGCCAGCUGAUCUGCGCAUGCUCUGAGGAUUCGGCUAGGGAUGCCGUCUGAGCCUUGCGAGGGUUAACACGUUUAAAUGUCUUACUCACGUCGGCCACAGAGAAGGAGAGGGAAUUGCGACUACACUUUGUCCCUAUACUGACAUUUCGCUUGUUUGAUUGCCAUGCGGAGGGAAUAUCUACACUGUUUAUAUUUGGCCAUAUUCCUAGUCAUCUUUCCAUGGUUAAAUGCAGUUGUUCUCGCUUUCAGUUUUGCACGAAUGCCACCAUCUAUCUACGGUUUCUGGUUAGGGUAUGUUUAAUUAGUCACAGUGGGUACAGCAUCUCCAAUACACUUCCUUAUAAACUCACUCACCAAAUCAGCAUAUAAAUCGAUGUUAUUCUCUGAGGCUGCCUGGAAUAUUUCCCAGUCCAGGUGAUCAAAACAAUCUUAAAAUGAUUGGACAGAUCAGCGUUGAAUAGUUCUAGUCACGGGUACAUCCUGUUUGAGUUUCUGCCGAAAGGACGAGCAGGCAACAGAUGGCACACAGACAGCAGAGUUGGGGACAGAUAUGCAGGGACAGACUGGCAGAGACAGGGAGUCUCAGAGACUGGACACUGGCGAGUAAUAUACUCAGAAGCGGUGGGUGGUGUGCACGCCUUCGAAGUCUGACCAGGAGGUUGCUCCGUCUACCUCUCCUGCGGCGACGUUGUUUUGUGUUGGCCUCUGGAAUCAGAUCCAAUGUCCUGGGUGGUGGUGCGAACAAAGGAUCCACUUUGGGAAAGUCGUAUUCCUGGUCGUAAUGUUGUCUGCAGAUGCAGAGGCUGCAGGUCCUGGAGGAUCGUCUCUGGUCAAGUAGGAGAGGACUGAAUGGACAACAGUAGUGUCGAAAAGGAAAAUUGUCUAAAAUUGAAGUGGAGGAUACGUGUAUGUCGGUUAAUUAAUAGUUUAUUUUCUUGGGAUGCAUUUGUUGAGUAAGGAUGCAUAUGUGGGAGACCUGUUUGAGGUGUCAAAUUGUGAAGUAUGCGCUGGGAAAAGUGGAGUCUCAGAGUGACCAGGAGCAGUCUUAUUUUGAUUGAUUGUAUUUCUGAAGAAAAGAAGAAGAUUGCAGUGGGCCUCAAAAGAAUAUACGGACAAGAGAAGUAUUGUACUUUGAACUCUCAGAGGUGAUGACGAAUGUUCAGGUUGAAUAUCUGAAGAGAAUUCCUGGUUUGGUUGGUGCCCGGCAUUUGACCCACUGGGUGAAUGUAGAAAAAGAAGAAAGUCUGUCGGUCCUGUUGUUUUUUGUUAAAGAGAACCUACCUACACAUGUCAAGCUUGGUUAUGUAAGAUACGCUGUAAGAGAUUUUGUCCCCAAAUCAUUGCAGUGAAAAAAAAUGAAAGGAUUUGGCCAUGUUUCAAGUGUGUGCAGACGGACGGAGUAUACUGAAGAAUUGCGUGUAGAAAGACGACAGUGUUGCAAUUGUGGUUGGGAUCCGAAUCCCCAGUUCCUGCAGUGCCCUGUAAGGGUGAAGGAGAUUGAGGUGGCAAAAGUUAGAGCGAUCAACAGAAUUUCCUAUGCGGAGGUGAUUUAUUAAAAGAGUUGAGCAAACAAGUGACGCUAGUGAAGAUAUGGUAGUGAAUUGAUUGAAUCAGAUGACUCAUUCAUUG